Sturnus vulgaris (Common starling) is the source of this 1102-nucleotide non-coding RNA. The record is from RefSeq and is a predicted model, not a curated record. Lineage: Eukaryota; Metazoa; Chordata; Aves; Passeriformes; Sturnidae.
AACCUGGGAACUGACUGAAGAAAAACUACAACUGUGUCUGAAAAACUAAAGAAAAAUCUCUUACAUAGAAGACCAUCCAACAGAGUAAAGAAUUCUGAAUUUGACAGGGUACUUUGAUAGUGAUGAGAAGGGCAGGAAGUUGAGAAGGAAACAAGAAGGAAUGCAAGAAUGAAGAGAAAUGGAAGCAGAAGAACAGAGUAGUCAAUGUAAGGUUAAACAGAGAAGAAAACAGGACUGAAGACUAUCAGAGAAUGGUGACUGAGUUACUUUCAGAGGAAUUUCAUAGCACUAAGAGAGGAGACAGCAGAACACGAUGGAGCUCUAAGAGACUAUUUUAGACCUGAAAGGUCAUAUUUCAGCUGCCAAGAACUUGUUCUCAGUUACUCUGAGCUGUACAAUAUACUCUUCAAUUUCUUGGAGACAAACCAAAGAUCCCAAAUUAUCAGCAGCCACCUGAUCUGCAGUGCUGGAGACAUGAGAAAUUCAUUACCAAUUUCAUAAAGUAACUGACUGCCCAUAUAGCAGUAUUCCUUUGGAUAACAAAUAGCAAAAAAGAGCAUAUCGAAUUUCUCAGAUGGGUAAGUUGUAGCUCCAUGGCUGGUACAAAGUCCUCUAAUAUCUUAAUGGAUGUGCUUUUGUUUAAUGAGAUGAUUCUGUACUUUCUGCUAUAUUUCUAGUGCAAUUGGCUUCUUCUAAAAUGAACUUGUGUUCUUGGCUCCGGAAAGUGAUAUGCAAUGGAAUGAUCUGUUAGCUGAACUUCAGGCUGCAGCUACUUUACUCUUGUUUAAUAGUUCAUGAUAUAGUGCUGGAACUGCUAGAGUGAUGUUGAGUUUUUGUUUUCUGUGGCCUCAGAACUGAUUCUCAUUUUUCCACUGGUUAUCGAGGCAUCUGAGAAGCAGCAUAACAGAGAAAGAACUAUGUUUUUAAAAAUAGCUAUUUCUGCAUUUCAGCAAUAGCCACACAGAAGCUUAGUAUCUUAGACAAAUAGGUGCACCCUAUUGCAUAGUAAGUUUUAGGCAAAGAAUUCCAUGAUUCAAGCAUAUUUUGUUUUACAUCCCAAAACAAGUUUUCCCUAGCCACUCUACCAGUAGGAUGAUAAAGU